This 112-nucleotide ribosomal RNA is filed under the name uncultured bacterium. RNAcentral describes it as "partial 16S ribosomal RNA". The record is from RNAcentral.
CCCGUUUCCGGGGUUUCGGUUAAACCCCUUUCUAGUUGGGACGAAGCUUCGCCGGUGAACAGCCGGCUGGAGUGACCGGUACCUUCAGAAGAAGCCCCGGCUAACUACGUGC